AGUUGUGGCCAUAUCACCCUGAACACACUCGAACUCAUCUGAUCUCAGAAGCUAAGCAAAGUUGGGUCUGGUUACUACUUCAUUGGGAGAUUGCCUAGGAAUACUGGGUGCUGUAAAGA
RNAcentral lists this ribosomal RNA (119 nucleotides) under Oryctolagus cuniculus (rabbit). Lineage: Eukaryota; Metazoa; Chordata; Mammalia; Lagomorpha; Leporidae. The record is from RNAcentral.